Molecule: microRNA, 21 nt
Filed under: Glycine max (soybean)
Lineage: Eukaryota; Viridiplantae; Streptophyta; Magnoliopsida; Fabales; Fabaceae
Description: gma-miR9762
Source: miRBase by way of RNAcentral
UACAGAUCUUUGGAAACAGGC